UACAGAGGUGGCAAGCGUUGUUCGGAAUUACUGGGCGUAAAGGGCGCGUAGGCGGUCCGGUAAGUCCUGUGUGAAAUCCCUCGGCUCAACUGAGGAACUGCACGGGAGACUGCCGGGCUUGAGUUCGGGAGAGGAAAGCGGAAUUCCGGGUGUAGCGGUGAAAUGCGUAGAUAUCCGGAGGAACACCGGUGGCGAAGGCGGCUUCCUGGACCGACACUGACGCUGAGGCGCGAAAGCUAGGGGAGCAAACGGG
RNAcentral lists this ribosomal RNA (253 nucleotides) under uncultured bacterium. Its description in RNAcentral is "partial 16S ribosomal RNA". It matches the Rfam family "Bacterial small subunit ribosomal RNA", at positions 524 to 776 of the family's 1533-position model. The record is from RNAcentral.